UUCAGGAGGUUAGUUAGGGAUCUUUGUGGAGAUUCCCUCUUGGAGAAGAUUGUUUGAAGAAGUUGCCCGGGUCUUUGCCAGGGUGUGGGGCGUGCAGCCAGAGAGUAGGAACUGUUCCCAGCGCCUCUUCCCUUCUCCCCAGCACAAGUACACGUCGAUCGCAGAGGUCCAGGCGCAGAUGGAGGAGGAGUUCCUUCGCUCUCCUCUUUCAGGGGGAGAAGAGGAAGUGGAGCAAGUCCCUGCAGAAACACUCUACCAAGGCCUGCUCCCCAGCCUGCCGCAGUACAUGAUCGCGCUGCUGAAGAUCCUGCUGGCUGCAGCCCCCACCUCCAAAGCCAAAACCGACUCGAUCAACAUCCUGGCCGACGUCCUGCCUGAGGAGAUGCCGUGAGUACCGUCGCCCCUGUGCGUGGAACAGGUGGGGCAACAGAACGGGGCCGUGUCUCCCUUUCAGUCCCCAGGUUUGGGAGGUUGCUUC
Molecule: long non-coding RNA, 478 nt
Organism: Myotis brandtii (Brandt's bat)
Lineage: Eukaryota; Metazoa; Chordata; Mammalia; Chiroptera; Vespertilionidae
Exons: 3
Source: RefSeq, a predicted model, not a curated record